This 852-nucleotide ribosomal RNA is filed under the name Triticum aestivum (bread wheat). RNAcentral describes it as "partial small subunit ribosomal RNA". The record is from RNAcentral. Lineage: Eukaryota; Viridiplantae; Streptophyta; Magnoliopsida; Poales; Poaceae.
AGCGGGGAGCGCCUGCGGAUCACGAUGGCAAACGGCGAUCGCCUCCAGUGUCAUGGGCUCGCCCGCGACGUUCCCAUCUCCAUCGGUGGCGAGCACUUCUCCAUUACCUGUGUAGGGAUCGACCUCGGCUGCUUCGACUUCAUCCUCGGGGUGGAUUUCCUCCGGACCCUCGGGCCCAUCCUGUGGGACUUCGACGUGCUCACGAUGACGUUCUGGCGGCUAGGCCGCCGCAUCCGGUGGGACGGCCUUGGGGGCGCCGCACCGGGCGUGCCACACCUCCAGCUGGCCGCCGUGUCCCAGGAGGCCGAGCACCCCCUGCUGGAUCCCCUUCUGCAGCAGCACAUCGAUCUCUUCGACGAGCCACGGGGUCUUCCGCCCGCCCGGGUGUACGACCACCAUAUUCACCUCGUACCGGGUUCCACCCCCGUGGCGGUUCGGCCCUACCGCUACCCGCAGCUGCAGAAGGAUGAGUUGGAGCGACAGUGUGCCCUUAUGCUCGCGGCAGGCAUCAUCCGGAUCUCCAUGUCGCCCUUCUCCGCGCCGGUGCUUCUCGUCCGCAAGACGGACGGCACGUGGCGUUUCUGCAUCGACUACCGCACCCUGAACGCGCUCACGCUCAAGGACAAGUUCCCUAUAUCGGUGGUCGACGAGCUCUUGGAUGAGCUCCAUGGGGCGCGCUUCUUCACCAAGCUCGAUCUCCGCUCGGGCUAUCAUCAGGUGUGCAUGCAUCCAGAUGACAUCGCCACGACGGUGUUUCGCACCCACCAUGGCCACUUCGAGUUCUUGGUGAUGCCCUUCGGCCUCGCCAACGCCCCGGCGACUUUCCAGGCCCUGAUGAACGACGUCCUUCGA